UCCCAGGGUAUACCAGAACUAGCCUUUCAUCCCAGGGUAUAACAUCCCAGGGUAUACCAGAACUAGCCUUUCAUCCCAGGGUAUACCAGAACUAGCCUUUCAUCCCAGGGUAUACCAGAACUAGCCUUUCAUCCCAGGGUAUACCAGAACCAGGGUAUACCAGAACUAGCCUUUCAUCCCAGGGGUAUACCAGAACUAGCCUUUCAUCCCAGGGUAUAUCAGAACUAGCCUUUCAUCCCAGGGUAUAACAUCAAUCAACAGGUGAAUCAGAAGUUGCAGUAAAAGUGGUCAACAAGACGAUAAAGAAACCAACCAUUCAUAAAUUCACAGGAAACUAUUAAAAUAAUUAUUUACAGAAUAACCCAAUAGAGUAACAGGAAAAAAACGACUGCACCCACCAGGUACUUUUGGGAAGAAAAAUAUAACAAUAUUUAAAUUAACUUUAAAAAAAAAAAAAAAACUAUAUAAAAGCUAUGCUCAAAAGUGGCCUUUCUUUUCAUUUAAAAACAGUCCCGGGUCUUUACAGUGUCCAUGAGAGGUGCUGCUGGCAGCGCGAGAAAACAUAUUGGUCUCGUCUGUCUUCCUUGGCGUGGUAAUAGUGUCUUUCUGGAUAUCAGACCUGUAGAGAGAGACCAGAGUAGCAGACUUACUACAGAGAUACUACAAGCACCCAGACCUCCCAUCAAAACACCACAGCUAGCCUGAAAUCCAGACCUGUUUCGUGCUAACAUUCCACCUCUGGUACUCUUGUGGUCAUUUGUUUGUCACGACGAGGAGAUGAACGUUAACACAAAGAGACUGGUACCCAGGCUAUGUCACAAACAGCAGCAGCUUGGAGAAAUACAGGCGUCCAUACAGUAUAGAUUAUAGCACAGCUCUUAGCCCAGGCCCCAUAUUCACAUAUCAUCUCAGUACCAGUGCUGAUCUGGGAUCAGUUUUUCCCCUUUUUAGAUCAUAAUGAAUGAGAUUACAAGGGCUGGUGGGACCUGAUCCUAGUUCAACCACUCCUACUCUGAGAAGCUCUGUGAAUACAGGCCCUGGGCGUUGUUUAGAGAAGGAGGUUUGAGUUGAGGCGUUGCUCCACUUACUCCAAGCAGGGUCCCA
This is a long non-coding RNA of Oncorhynchus tshawytscha (Chinook salmon), 1104 nucleotides long. Lineage: Eukaryota; Metazoa; Chordata; Actinopteri; Salmoniformes; Salmonidae. The record is from Ensembl.